RNAcentral lists this ribosomal RNA (660 nucleotides) under Carinigera drenovoensis. RNAcentral's name for it is "partial 12S ribosomal RNA". The record is from RNAcentral. Lineage: Eukaryota; Metazoa; Mollusca; Gastropoda; Stylommatophora; Clausiliidae.
GCCACUUUAAUUUGAUGGAAACAGUAAGCAAUAAGCAUGUUUAAAUAUGGAUUUUUAUGAAUAGAAGCUUUUCCAGUUUAAGAUAUUAAAUUAUAUAUGAAAAUAUAAUUUAGACAGCUUAAUAAAUUAGGUUUAUUAGGUGCCAGCAACCGCGGUCAUACCUAAUAAUUUAGUUUAUAAUGAUAUUAAAUAAUUUUAAUCCGCGUUUAUGAAUAUGAUGAUAUAUAGUGAAAUACUAUCCCAUAUUUGCUACUUUUCAAGCCUAUAAAAAUGAAAUCCACAACUAAAACUAGGAUUAGAGACCCUACUAUUGUGGUUUACUAAUUAUUUACUAAGAAGUAAAACAUAAAUUUAAAACUUAAAUGUUAUGGCGGCUGACCAAAACAAUUAGGGGAACUUACCAUAUAAUUGAUAACCACCAAGCAUAAUCAUACUUACUAUAAUAAUUUGUAUACCGUUGUCUUCAUGAACCCCCUCGAGGGGGUUCAUGAAUAUAUUACAUAUAAUAAGAUAAAUCAAGGUGCAGUUGACUUAGUAAGAAAUAAGGUGAGUUACAUUAAAAUAUUUUUUCGGAUUAUAUAAUGAAAUAAAUUAUAAAGUUGGACUUAAAAGUACUAUAUAAAUUAACAAAUAUACUAUGAAUGUGUUUUGCUUAGUGUA